GAUGAACGCUGGCGGCGUGCCUAAUACAUGCAAGUCGAGCGAACGGACGAGAAGCUUGCUUCUCUGAUGUUAGCGGCGGACGGGUGAGUAACACGUGGAUACCCUACCUAUAAGACUGGGAUAACUUCGGGAAACCGGAGCUAAUACCGGAUAAUAUUUUGAACCGCAUGGUUCAAUAGUGAAAGACGGUUUUGCUGUCACUUAUAGAUGGAUCCGCGCUGCAUUAGCUAGUUGGUAAGGUAACGGCUUACCAAGGCAACGAUGCAUAGCCGACCUGAGAGGGUGAUCGGCCACACUGGAACUGAGACACGGUCCAGACUCCUACGGGAGGCAGCAGUAGGGAAUCUUCCGCAAUGGGCGAAAGCCUGACGGAGCAACGCCGCGUGAGUGAUGAAGGUCUUCGGAUCGUAAAACUCUGUUAUUAGGGAAGAACAUAUGUGUAAGUAACUGUGCACAUCUUGACGGUACCUAAUCAGAAAGCCACGGCUAACUACGUG
RNAcentral lists this ribosomal RNA (497 nucleotides) under uncultured bacterium. RNAcentral's name for it is "partial 16S ribosomal RNA". It matches the Rfam family "Bacterial small subunit ribosomal RNA", at positions 28 to 507 of the family's 1533-position model. The record is from RNAcentral.